GGGCAGUAUAAUUUGUCUGAUUCUCUGUAAUAAUGGUAUGUGAAUAAUUAUGCACUUUAUUUUGUAAAGUGGUUUCUUGCAUCAAACAACACAACAUUUUCAGUCACCUCAACAUUUUCAGUCACCUCCUCAUCUGAAGGACAAGUGGAUAAACAGGUUAAUAACAAGCCCUGCAUGUAUUUUUCAAAAGUCUCAUCGAAUGUAGGUCUACAUUGAACACCAUACAUUGGCUGCUACUGGAGGUGGAACGAUAGAACAGCUAUUAGAACAGCUAUUGUUAAAAUGUUAUGGGAUGCAUUUUCUACAUAGCCACAGUAGCCUACUUGACCACUGUUAAAACUAACUCAAAAUGGGCCUCCCGAGUGGCUCAGUGGUCUAUGGCACUGCAUCGCAGUUGCUACCUGUGCCACUAUAGAUCCUGUUUUGAGUCCAAGCUCUGUCGCAGCCGCCCGUGACCGGGAGACCCAUGGGGCGGCGCACAAUUGGUCCAGCGUCGUCCGGGUUAGGGGAGGGUUUGGCCGGCAGGGAUGUCCUUGUCCCAUCACGCUUUGCGACUCCUGUGGUGGGCCGGGCACAUGCACGCUGACACGGUCGCCAGGUGCACUGCGUUUCCUCCGACACAUUGGUGUGGCUGGAUUCCGGGGUAAGUGGGCAUUGUGUCAAGAAGCAGUGCGGCUUGGUUAGGUCAUGUUUCGGAGGACGCAUGGCUCUCGACCUUCGCCUCUCCCGAGUCCGUACGGGAGUUGCAGCGAUGAGACAAGACUGUAACUACCAAUUGGAUACUACGAAAUUGGGGACAAAAAGGGGUAAAAAGUAAACAAACAAAAAAAUAAAACUAACUUAAAGCGGGUUAAACAUCAGUGUUCACAGUAAACACGCGCCGGAAGUUGCACAGAAUUUUCAUAAUGUUAAAGUUUGCGUUUAGUAGACCUGAAAUUUGCUCAGUGAUGAAAAAAUGUUGAGGGAACAUUGCUUGCUGGCCUGGCAUUAUGGGCGGGCUCUACCGUACCUCCUUUCCCAUCCAAAUAAAAUAUUGACUCACCCCGACAGAUAAAGCAUCCGAGCAAGCGAAACAGCGCCUCCCCCUCUCAGUAUGUGUAGCCCGUGUAUCUGAUGCUGUCUGGACUAAAAGAGUACGGCAUGACAUUUUUCUUUUUUGCCAGACCGCAUCAGAUGGCUACACAUUGUAAGACAGAAGGGCGCUUUUUCAGUUGAUUGCAUGCUAUUUUGGACUAACACGCGAAGGUAACCUAUUUUUUGAAGUGAUUUGUUUUACAAUCAGAUGAAAGCAUCAUGACUGGUUGUGUUCAUGCCACAGUCAAAAAGGUAGGCUAAUACAUUUUUACUGUUAAAUUACAUGUUACUAUAAAGCCCACAAUAGAACUGCAAAAGCAGUCCAUUACCUUUCCUACAGUAAAUAAGUCUAUAAUACACACUUUAGUUGUUAGAAUCUUAAUAUCGCAGACAGAACUGGUGUUACAGAAAGUUUUAGGAGGGCAUGUCAUUUUUUAUAUUGUUUUCCCCGUUGCCCCUCCUCUCGACAGUAAGGCCUGCUCCCCUCCCUCUCCCAAUAGUUGAAGAUGCCUUGCCCAGUUGAAAAUCACUCCGAUAAUUGCCUCAAAAGUGUACCUAACCUAUACCGGAACAAAUUUCACACAUAUAAUAACAGAUGAAAUAAACAAAGUAGGCUAAAGUAUGAUGGGAGAAUGGAUGAGUUGAUGCGCGAGGAGAAGCGAACAAUGCAUAAUUACGUAAUCACUAUUCUAAUUAUAAUCUCAAAAUGUUAUGUACUCUAUCAGUCUACUCUGGCCUACUUGGAGUACAGUGAGAGCGUGUGUAAUUUACAAUAGUAAGAAGACCAAGACGAAUGGAUGCACUCGUUAGCGUUGCUACAAAGUCUGAAAGAAAACAACUCCAAUGGUGGGGAAGAAAUGAAUCAUGAUUACUUCUCUGAUGAGUAUUCUUCUGAUUCUGAGCCUCAACCUGAACCUAUACCUCUGAGGCCUAAGUGCAUAAAAGCCAGAACUGUGUGCACUGAGCAGGUGCUCACACCACCGUCAAAUGAAACGGUGAGACCGGAGAGAGGAUGCCACCAUUUGGAAUAGAGCAAGCCAGUGAUAAUUCUAUUGGCUAUUAUCAGCAGAAAAUGUAAUCACUCGAGGGAGCAGUCCCUACAUCUCGAGCAAGAAAUUAAUUCUGCAACGCACUCAGCAGCUUUCGUUGUUCAGCCUAUGUGACAUGGACAUGCUCCAACUGAUAACUGACUUUUUGACUGCUGUCAUAUCAACACAUAUUCAUAAUGCCUUUAUUGCUUUCGUGAUGAUUGUCACUAUUAUCAAGCACACUUGGCGCUUGUAAUGAUGUUUAGGCUACUGAUGUUUUCGGAAGUUGACCAUGCAUCUUGCUGACCGGGUUCUAACACCAAUGCUUUCUGUUUCAUAGUUGUAACAGGCACUCCGUAAAUACAAUUUAUUGAACCCUUUAUUUAUUUAUUUUUUAUACAUAUAUCCACAUAGGAGGUCCCGGAUCCAACGGAAUCGUUCUGGCGCCGGCCCUGGUAGCUUGUUUAGGUGUGUACUGUAGUAAAAUGUUGGCUAAUCGCUGACUACUUUGUGUCCUACAGACUAAUCCUGCUGCUGAUGACGAGGAUGAUGAUGAUGAUGACCUUGACACCAGAUGUAGUAGCACUAGCGGUUCUGGGGGGGGGGGGCAGUGCCCCUGUGACAACAAUUUUGGACCCCCUUGUGGCCCCUCUAAAUGUGGAGUAUGAAAUAAUUUUUACAUAACAAAUUUUUGCUAUCGUUCUUUUUUUACAUCCGUUAUUAGACAGUGGCAACGCGGAAUACUAAUUUAAACCACACAUUUUCUAGAGGGACGGCUUUAGGCAGAACAGAACAGCAUCGUACCACAUGCAUCUGCAUUAUGAACAUGGUAUUUUGCCUGCUAAUGCCUGCAAUGCAGUGAAGAAAACGAUAUGACAACAAUAACGUCUAAUGUAACUGGCCCCUCUAACAGUACAACUGGCCUCAGAUUGGCCCCCCCAGUUGAAAUGGUCUAGAACCGGCACUGUGUAGUAGUACUGAGCCUGUAAACCCAGUGGAUGAAAGCUUUCAGCCUGGAAUAAGCUCAACAUCAUCUGAUACACUAAACUGUCUACAAGACAAUUGCUCCACCAACGUUUCGCAGCACUGCAGUCAGCUCUUUGGCAUGGAGGAGAGGGGCUGAGACCUGCAGUGCAUAAAUCUUCUGCAAGAGGUCGAAGAAGUGGGUUGUGAAGAACAUCGCCAUAGCACAAAAGCCUGCUAAACCAGCUGCUACUACCCAACACAAGAGAAUCACCUGCUGAAGAACAUUCAACCAAGACUACAUCCACAUUCAAUUGAACUGAUGUUGUAGUAUUAUAUACAGUAGAAUAGCUAAUAUGGUCACAACUGUAUUGUCGUAUAGAUAUUGCUAGCUGUUGUACAUAUGUACUGCAGUUAAUGGUGUUUUAUAUCAUAUUUUUUACAAGUAUAUUUACAAGUGACUAAAUGAUUGCAGCUGCAUCAGAAACCAAUGAAGUGUUGACUUCAACUUCUGGAUGAAUUCAUUGUGAUAUUAAUGACUUGUAUUUAGAUAAACUAGCUUAAAUCUUACUGCUAAAACAAAUGAUGCAGGUUGUUGGUGAAAGUUUGUGAAUGGCACACAAACAAUCCGUCUCAAUUGUCUCAAGGCUUAGAAAUCCUUCUUUAACCUGUCUCCUCCCCUUCAUCUACACUGAUUGAAGUGGAUGAUAGUUUUCAUCUGGAUUCACCUAGUCAGUCUUACUGACACUUGUUGUGACUUCGCGUGAUGUACUGUUGUCUCUACCUUUUUGCCCUUUGUGCUGUUGUCUGUGCCCAACAACGUUUGUACCAUGUUUGUGUUGCUGCCAUGUUGUGUCGCUACCGUGUUGUCAUGUAUUGCUGCCACGCUGUGUUGUCAUCUUAGGUCUCUAUUUAUGUAGUGUUGUGAUGUGUCUUUUGACCAACUUUUCUUUUUUUUUACUCCCAGCUCCUGUCCCUGCAGGAGGCCAUCAUUGUAACUAAGAAUUUGUUCUUAACUGACUUGCCUAGUUAAAUAAAG
Molecule: long non-coding RNA, 4104 nt
Filed under: Salmo salar (Atlantic salmon)
Lineage: Eukaryota; Metazoa; Chordata; Actinopteri; Salmoniformes; Salmonidae
Description: lncRNA (ENSSSAG00000098622.1, ENSSSAG00000098646.1)
Source: RNAcentral